RNAcentral lists this ribosomal RNA (292 nucleotides) under uncultured Acidobacteriota bacterium. RNAcentral describes it as "uncultured Acidobacteria bacterium partial 16S ribosomal RNA". The record is from RNAcentral. Lineage: Bacteria; Pseudomonadati; Acidobacteriota.
GGACUACCCGGGUAUCUAAUCCUGUUUGCUCCCCUAGCUUUCGUUCCUCAGUGUCAGUUGCGAUCCAGUCAGCCGCCUUCGCCACGGGUGUUCCUGCAGAUAUCUACGCAUUUCACCGCUACACCUGCAAUUCCACUGACCUCUCUCGCACUCGAGCACGGCAGUUUUGAAAGCAGCCUCUGAGUUAAGCCCAGAGAUUUCACUCCCAACUUGCCGCACCACCUACGAACCCUUUACGCCCAGUAAUUCCGAGCAACGCUGGCCCCCUACGUAUUACCGCGGCUGCUGGCAC